CCUGGAGGAUUAUCGAGUUCGUUCCGACAGAAUGGAAAUUAAAGACAAGACUCGAAAGGUUACACGUUCAUUCAUAGUGCUUUGUUUUUUAGCCAUGAAAUUCAAUAAUGAUAAUUGGUAGUUAUGAAAAACCUUGGGGAAGUUUGGAGCGAAGAUUAAAGUUAUGGUGUGACUUAAUGAAUGGACUAUCUUUG
Molecule: non-coding RNA, 194 nt
Filed under: unclassified sequences
Description: RT-16 RNA
Rfam family: RT-16 RNA
About the family: candidate division DUSEL4 (Archaea). Nearby to self-splicing intron genes
Source: Rfam by way of RNAcentral